CGUGUAGGCGGCCCGGUAAGUCCGCUGUGAAAGUCGGGGGCUCAACCCUCGAAAGCCGGUGGAUACUGUCGGGCUAGAGUGCGGAUGAGGCGAGUGGAAUUCCUGGUGUAGCGGUGAAAUGCGCAGAUAUCAGGAGGAACACCGAUUGCGAAGGCAGCUCGCUGGGACGUAACUGACGCUGAGACGCGAAAGCGGUGGGGGGCAAACA
RNAcentral lists this ribosomal RNA (208 nucleotides) under uncultured bacterium. RNAcentral describes it as "partial 16S ribosomal RNA". It matches the Rfam family "Bacterial small subunit ribosomal RNA", at positions 568 to 774 of the family's 1533-position model. The record is from RNAcentral.